AACGCACAUUGCGCCCGCCAGUAUUCUGGCGGGCAUGCCUGUCUGAGCGUCAUUUCAACCCUCGCAACCAGCUUGCUGGAUGCGGUGUUGGGGAUCGGCCACCCAUCCCGGGAGGCCGUCCCUUAAAUAGAGUGGCGGUUGCGCUGUAACCUCCUCUGCGUAGUAGCAAUAUCUCGCAGGCGGAUAGCGGUGUAACCAUGCCGUAAAACCCCCAACUCUUCUUUGGUUGACCUCAGAUCAGGUAGGAAUACCCGCUGAACUUAA
RNAcentral lists this unclassified non-coding RNA (264 nucleotides) under uncultured fungus. RNAcentral describes it as "partial contains 5.8S ribosomal RNA, internal transcribed spacer 2, and large subunit ribosomal RNA". The stretch from base 1 to 52 matches the Rfam family "5.8S ribosomal RNA", at positions 103 to 154 of the family's 154-position model. The record is from RNAcentral. Lineage: Eukaryota; Fungi.